Molecule: unclassified non-coding RNA, 405 nt
Filed under: Artemisia flahaultii
Lineage: Eukaryota; Viridiplantae; Streptophyta; Magnoliopsida; Asterales; Asteraceae
Description: partial external transcribed spacer
Source: RNAcentral
UAAAGGUGGAUGAGUGGUGUUUGGUUUGUUACGUGUGGUUGGCUGCGGCGUUUGCAACAACUUCCAUGCUUUCAGACCUCUUCAGUUGUGCGGCAAGGCUUGUAUCSCCUUGAGCGUAUUGUGGGUUUUCUGUGUUGGCUACCUAAUCAAUGGUAUCGUUUGGAUUGAUCRAAKUUUGAUUUCGUCUUCCGUCGCGUUUGCGGCGUGAGGUGAACCUUGAUGCGGUYUCUUUGAUCCAUYUCGUCGAAGCACAUGCUUUGACGUUGUGGCACAUUGACCAUUGCUUGGUCUCUUGUAUACGGAACACGUAGUGGGCAUGGAUCUAACGAUUCUUGUUUGCCCUCAUGUUAGCGUAACGCUUCUCUAACACGACUUGCACCACGUUUUAGCUCGUACGGACGUGGU